CGUUCUAUGGUCAAAUUGGUAAAGGCAUCACCGAUCACAGGAGAGGAUGCGGGUUCGAGUCCCUCUGGAACGG
This 73-nucleotide transfer RNA is filed under the name Operophtera brumata (winter moth). It matches the Rfam family "tRNA". Rfam says of the family: Transfer RNA (tRNA) molecules are approximately 80 nucleotides in length. Their secondary structure includes four short double-helical elements and three loops (D, anti-codon, and T loops). The record is from Rfam by way of RNAcentral. Lineage: Eukaryota; Metazoa; Arthropoda; Insecta; Lepidoptera; Geometridae.